AAAAGAAAAACUCAAGUCAUCUUAACAGACUCUGCCUCUGUCUCUCUCUCUCUCACUCACACACACACACAGCUUUCAGGCGUCCUUGAAGUCAAUAAAAUUGUGACCCCGAUACAUUAAGAAAAAUGCCCUAAGCCAGCCAAGAGUGAAAAUAAACAUGACUGAGCAAUAAAUUGGGAUCGCCUUCCCUCUCCUCCUCCCCGCCACAUGCUCGGGCUUCGCGGGGCAAAACACAGUCCAUAUGGAGGCUCUGACGUAACGGGGCCCACCCCCGCCCUCUCCUCACAGGCCUCCCCCAGGUGACUCCCGGCCCAGGCGGCGGCCCGGGGCACCGAACAAACAUGAGCUGAUGCAGAUGGAAUGAGCAGAUGUCUGGCGUCCCGAGCCCAGGCUGUGAGGGACAGCCCGUGAGAGUGAGGAGGAGGCUUGGAGGGGAGCAGGCACCCCAUUUCCCUGCCCGAUCCCCUGAACCCCGAGUGCCAGCGGCAGCGACGGGGCAAGCAGUCCUUCCAACCCUGAGGACCCCGUCCUCCUGCCUCCCCCGAGACCUUGACUCCCAGACCCAGACAGAGCCUUAGGGUCAAGGCGGCUCGGAGUCACCUGAUCCCAUCUGUCCGUGUGAGACAGAUGAGAACACCGAGGCCUGGGGCCUUAAGGGACUUGACCCCCAGGGUGCACCGGGAGUGGCAGCCUCUGCAGCACUGGGACGCAGGACCAGUCCCAAAAUCCCAACCUGCUCGGUGGGCUAGGGAUCCAGCAUUGACAUUCCUGAUGCAGGAACUCCACAUGCCUCAAGGCAGCCAAAAAACAAAAGGGGGCUUGCCCAACCUCAGGUAAUAGCUUAUGGCCAAACAGAUUUCCACUCUCCUACCUUCUAGAAUAAUCCUUUUUUAUAUUCUAAGCUGGCUGACGCAGUAUGAUCAAAGAUCAUUCAUCCAACUUUUCAUUAAAUCCUCACUGUGGGAGUAGGGAGGGAGAAAUCAGGAGUUUGGGAUUAAAAGGUACACACUACUACAAUAUUAAAAUAACCAGCAAGAACCAACUGUAUAGCACAGGGAACUCGACUCAGUAUCUUGUAAGAACCUAUAAUGAGGAGAAUGCUACCAAAGCAUAUACAUAUACACGACGGAAUCACCUGGCUGUACGCCUGAAACCAACACAACAUUGUGAAUCAACUCUGUUCCGAUAAAAAUUUUAAAUAAAAAAAUAAAUCCUCACUGUAGGCCAGGCCCUGUGGCAGGUGUUUGAAACCCUAAGAUUUUUCCAUGGCAGUAAUCAAAGAUCUCUCCCAGAUACCGAAAAAAGAGCAGUUCCUCUGAGGGCUUCUUGCCCUUUCACAUCAAACAACUGGUUAGCCCCCUACUAUGUGCCAAGUCCAGUACUGGGUGCUAGAAAAGAAAGACAUCCUCUUUCCCCACUUGGGGUCCUCCGAGUUGAGGUUAGAGUCCACGGAAAUGGAUAAACAGGGAGGAGAUUCAGACCAUAAAUUCACAUGGAAUAAACACAGAUAACAAAUAGACAAGAUUAAAUAUUUAGAUUCCGUAUUGGCCAGGAGUUAAGUGGAUUAAUGGAGUGAUGAGUUGGGCAGAGUUAUGGGAUUUCCAUGUUUAGACAGGGCGGAUUAGGUUGUCUAGCAUAUGGAAAUGCAAAUCGAAACUGCUGUCAUCAGCAUCAACACCCUGUAUUCAUCUCUAGAGGUGCCUUUCUGUCAAAGGACGGAAGGUGCAGGACAGACGUCUCGCCCAUCUUAAUGACAUCCUGGUGAGUCAGAAAGCCAGCGCCGAGAUUCCCAGGCUUUAGGUGAGGAGACAGAGCCAGGGCAGGGAGUGGGAAAGCCAAGAGCCGCUAAAACUGAGUCCUGGCCCCUCUUCACCUCCAGGGCCUCCGGAGCACUUGGGCAAUUCAGACAGGCACCAGCAUGCUGACCCAUUGUAAAACGGUCCUUUUGAUCUUUUCCCUCAAAGGAGGCGAGAAUGUGAGCUACCUUGUAAUUAUUUCCCCAGCACUUGAAAUAAUCUGUUUUAGAGUCUCUGUAGAGCGUAAGUUUCUUAAGGGCAGGGACCUACCUUGAAUGCCGCCUGUCAUCUGCGGCUCUGGAGACGCAGCCAGUGUCUUAUCCCUUCUUGCUGAUGAGGGAAGGGUCAGGAAUGGCACUAAGAUGGCCAUGGUGUCAGCCAGGCACAGUUCCCGCGGCUCAUUCAGCUCCUGCCCCUCUGAAGCGUGCUCCUGAAACAAGUCUCUCGCCCAUCAGUACUUCAUGAGACCCCUCUGAAAUCACUUGUUUGACCCCACAGUUAACAGAUCCAAAAAGGGGUUAUUGAUGGAGAAUCAUCAGACGUGCCCAAAGACUUGGCUGCCUGGGCUUUCUGGGCCCAGGAAUUCCAUGAGCGCCGUCUCGUGUGCAUCCCACAAAAACCGCUUGUCAAAGAAUAAUUAAGGGCACAGGCAUUUGAUUCCAGCACCAAACCUGUAUUUGCUCCUCUUGGUAAUGUCUCUCCAAAAUCUAAGAGCCACGCACAACCCAGAUAAGUCUGAAACAGCAUCAUAGCAUUUAGACCACAUCUUGUCUUCCUUCCUGUGAUUGCCGAGUGCUAAUUUGCAGAGCAGUUCUGAGAAAGGUUAUAUGUGAACACAACAGAGUGGAGAGAUCGGGGUUUGAAGGGUUCUGCUGCUGCAUUAUCAAUAUGUGAAAAUUGACACAGGUCUUUUCUAUCCAAGGAAGUCUUGGUCACUCCAUUUGUUCCUGCUUGGUAUGAGGCACCCUCCUCCACCCCCCUCUUUCCCUCUUCUCCCAGUAGCAAUUUGUUUCAAAUCAGCCAACCGAGAAGAACGUGCGCCCUGACCUGACCAAUGAGAAGGAGACAGGUACAUCACCUGCGUUAGGGAUAAAUGUGGGGGGGUCUUCCCUCUGGCGUUUUGUGGACCCUCACGCCCUUCUGCCGAAGUAAAGAGCCUUGUCGAGAUCUCCUGUGUUCAUGUGUCUCAUUUUCCAACACUGCCGAUCACUUUUCCGACACUGCCAGAGUCCUUUUCCCCAACAAAUAUGACAGCCUUCUAGUGGAACCUUUGAUUUACAGUCAAGCUGAGACCCUGGGACAGCAAAUAACCCACCUUUUAAAGGCAGCUUUAGUUCCUCACCUCCAAAAAUGGGGACCUGCUAUAGUCAAUCUCAGACGUCUCCAGGCUGCAGACUCCCCACCUGUAAUCUCCGCCCUCCCUCCUCCACCUCGUGGAAUAAGGUAAGGAGCCUCACCUGGCCUCGCCGGGCACCGUUCCAGUCUUGCCCUGUGCUGCACGCAAACGCUGCAAAUCAUUGCCAGGUGUGGGCAAAUAGGCUCGUGACCUUUAUCUACCCUUCUAUUGGCUGUGCCCUGCCCCCUGCUUCAUGUCCCUGUUUGAACACCUUUGAUCGCCACCCGGCGCAGAAUGGAACUUGAUUCGUGACCCGGGACCAUCUGUUCCACCCACUCCCCCCAGAGUUCCUGCCAGUUCACCUGCCAUUUCCCCAGGAGAGCUGGUCUUCAAAGUGGGCGGGUCCAUCACUGAUUUCCCCAGAUAUCGUUCGGCUCAAUACAGGAGAAUGUGACACAGCCCCGAAGUUCUCAGGGAGACUCGGCCCUCGAGAGACUGACUCACAUAUCACUGUCCCGGUUACCAGCAUACAUUGCUCUGUUGUUAAACCGUGAAGGAGAUGGAUGUUCUGCUUGAGAAGAAGACUUUCUAGACUGGCAAGUGACUGGAAUGGCGCCGGGUCCGUGCGUUGGUCAGAAGGCUGUGCCUGACGUCAGCACAUCCACGUUGCCUUGCAAGGCUCUGGCUCACUGCGACCUGAAGCAUUUGUCAUCCCAUCAUACGUGGACCCCA
This is a non-coding RNA of Sus scrofa (pig), 3864 nucleotides long. NCBI's taxonomy places the organism in Eukaryota, Metazoa, Chordata, Mammalia, Artiodactyla, Suidae. The record is from RefSeq and is a predicted model, not a curated record.